GGGCCCGUAGCUCAGUAAGGUAGAGCGGCGGACUCUUAAUCCGUUGGCCACGGGUUCAAAUCCCGCCGGGCCCGCCA
Molecule: transfer RNA, 77 nt
Filed under: Candidatus Bathyarchaeota archaeon
Lineage: Archaea; Thermoproteati; Candidatus Bathyarchaeota
Also listed under: 3 other names
Description: tRNA-Lys
Rfam family: tRNA
About the family: Transfer RNA (tRNA) molecules are approximately 80 nucleotides in length.
Source: RNAcentral